GGCAUAUUUCGCCAAAGCGGAGCUCGACCGCCUUCAGAAGUGAUGGUCGCCUUCAUCGACGAACAUCGCUCGAUCUUGGGAGUCGAGCCGAUUUGCCGUGAGUUGCAGAUCGCUCCC
This 117-nucleotide non-coding RNA is filed under the name uncultured Spirochaetota bacterium. RNAcentral's name for it is "uncultured Spirochaetes bacterium ALIL". It matches the Rfam family "ALIL pseudoknot". The record is from RNAcentral. Lineage: Bacteria; Pseudomonadati; Spirochaetota.